CAUCAAAAUCUUAGGCCCUCCAAAUCUGAGACAAUCACCUCAAAAUCUCUUACUUCUCUUCAUUUCCAUUCAUCCUUCACCCUUCUCUAUUCUCUUGACUGGUUCUCUUGCUCUCAUUGGGACAUUGGCCCCCGAGAUGCGGUUGCCACAGAGAAGGAAGUCGUGAGAUCUUUGGAGGUUGAAGAAAGAAGGAAGAAGAC
RNAcentral lists this long non-coding RNA (200 nucleotides) under Elaeis guineensis (African oil palm). RNAcentral describes it as "long non-coding RNA (EGUI_LNC021458)". The record is from RNAcentral. Lineage: Eukaryota; Viridiplantae; Streptophyta; Magnoliopsida; Arecales; Arecaceae.